This 65-nucleotide transfer RNA is filed under the name Eubasilissa regina. RNAcentral's name for it is "tRNA-His". Lineage: Eukaryota; Metazoa; Arthropoda; Insecta; Trichoptera; Phryganeidae. The record is from RNAcentral.
ACUUAAAUAGUUUAAAAAAAAAUUUUAAUUUGUGGGAUUAAAGAUAUAAUUAAUUAUUUUAAGUU